RNAcentral lists this ribosomal RNA (450 nucleotides) under Leifsonia sp. SCMS52. RNAcentral describes it as "bacterial SSU rRNA". It matches the Rfam family "Bacterial small subunit ribosomal RNA", at positions 939 to 1390 of the family's 1533-position model. The record is from RNAcentral. Lineage: Bacteria; Bacillati; Actinomycetota; Actinomycetes; Micrococcales; Microbacteriaceae.
AUGCGGGAUUAUUCGAUGCACGCGAGAACCUUACCAAGGCUUGACAUACACGAGAACGCCCUAUAAAUAGGGAACUCUUUGGACACUCGUGAACAGGUGGUGCAUGGUUGUCGUCAGCUCGUGUCGUGAGAUGUUGGGUUAAGUCCCGCAACGAGCGCAACCCUCGUUCUAUGUUGCCAGCGCGUAAUGGCGGGAACUCAUAGGAGACUGCCGGGGUCAACUCGGAGGAAGGUGGGGAUGACGUCAAAUCAUCAUGCCCCUUAUGUCUUGGGCUUCACGCAUGCUACAAUGGCCGGUACAAAGGGCUGCAAUACCGUAAGGUGGAGCGAAUCCCAAAAAGCCGGUCUCAGUUCGGAUUGAGGUCUGCAACUCGACCUCAUGAAGUCGGAGUCGCUAGUAAUCGCAGAUCAGCAACGCUGCGGUGWAUAYKUUCCCGGGCCUUGUACACAC